Pelobates cultripes (western spadefoot toad) is the source of this 307-nucleotide non-coding RNA. Lineage: Eukaryota; Metazoa; Chordata; Amphibia; Anura; Pelobatidae. The record is from the annotation of a GenBank genome assembly.
UUGUGGUAGCCCCAAAAUAUUGGGACAUAUAAAAAAAGACAGAGUAGCUGUUGACAUUAUAGUUGCGCAGGCACUUUGUUGACUCUAGAGAACCUCGGGCCAAUCGCACAUCCCCGUGGCAGCGACUUUGUAUGCGGAUGUCAUCCACAUCAACUUUCGAUGCAAGUUUCUGCGCCUACCAUAGUGACCACAGGUAAUCGGGAAUCAGGGCUCCAUUCCGUACAGGGACCCUGAGAAAUGGCUACCACAUGCAAGGAAGGCAGCAGGCGCACAAAUACCCACUCCCGACGCGGGAAGGUAGUGACGA